GAGAGAGAGAGAGAGAGAUAAUGAUGGGAAGAGAGAGAAAAUAGGUUUGGGAGAGAGAAUGGAGUGAGAGGAGAGAGAAUAUUUUUUCUAUGACAAGUGCCACCUCAUCAUAUUUAAUCAGGAAAUCUGUGAUAAUGACGCAACGUGAAGCUUAAGGAAAAAACACUUUCACACAAUACAUAAGUAUUGGGAGAAAAACUCUCUUGGAUUUUAUUAGUUAAAUCUCAAAUCUGAAAUUACAUAGAAUAUAUUAGCUAUUUAUAAGGAUUUUAAUCUCCUAAACCUAAUGGGAAAAUAGCUCUACUAAAUAGGAAGUUUAGAUGAACUAAAUUACAAUACGAAAUCCAAAACAAAAUAGGAAGAAUUCUAAAUCCUACUUAGAAUAGGAAUAUUAAAUAAAUCCUAAAUGAAAUAGGAAACCAAGAAGAAAUCCUAUUUGAAAUAGCAAAAUAAAAUAAACUAAUUUUGGCAAGCUAAAACUCUCCCGAAACAAGUAGAAACUUUCCAAAAACAAGUAGGAUCAUGUU
This 527-nucleotide unclassified non-coding RNA is filed under the name Hevea brasiliensis (rubber tree). The record is from RNAcentral. Lineage: Eukaryota; Viridiplantae; Streptophyta; Magnoliopsida; Malpighiales; Euphorbiaceae.